Molecule: ribosomal RNA, 552 nt
Filed under: uncultured archaeon
Lineage: Archaea
Description: bacterial SSU rRNA
Rfam family: Archaeal small subunit ribosomal RNA
Source: RNAcentral
GCACCGCAACGGGAGGAUGCGUGAGGUUUAAUUGGAUUCAACGCCGGAAAACUCACCGGGGGCGACGGUUACAUGUGGGUCAAGCUGAUGACUUUACCCGAAUUUCCGAGAGGUGGUGCAUGGCCGUCGUCAGUUCGUACCGUAGGGCGUUCUCUCAAGUGAGAUAACGAACGAGACCCUCAUCCCUAAUUGCCACCUCAUGGGCGACCAUGGGAGCACAUUGGGGAGACCGCUACUGCUAAAGUAGAGGAAGGGGAGGUCAACGGUAGGUCAGUAUGCCCCGAAUCCCCCGGGCAACACGCGCGCUACAAAGGAUGGGACAAUGGGCAUCAACACCGAAAGGUGAAGGCAAACCCGAAACCCAUUCGUAGUUCGGAUUGAGGGCUGUAACCCGCCCUCAUGAAGCUGGAUUCCGUAGUAAUCGCGGGUCAACAUCCCGCGGUGAAUAUGCCCCUGCUCCUUGCACACACCGCCCGUCAAACCGCCCGAGUUGGGUCCAAAUGAGGUUCUGCCCUUGUGGUAGGCUCGAAUUUGGGUUCAGCAAGGAGGGUU